AUGGCGGCGGUUCGGUGCGCGGCCAGGAGGCUCGGUGGCUCCCUGCUCCAGCGGACGCAGGCGGAGGAGCGACGCCGGCUCGUGCCAAGCAGGCUCAUGCGCUCCCGCCACCUCACCACCGAGCAAGCGCAAGAGAUCCAGCAGAAGAAGGAGGCAUUCUAUGACGCGGUGUCUAAUGUGGAGCUUAAGAUGAAGGAGUUCAAUGAUGCCUUAGUUAAGGCGGUGGAUCCUACUGGCCAGAAGCAUCUUUCUGCGCCACGGACUGGCUAUGAGCGCCUUAAGAUGUAUGGAUUAAGAGCUCUGGGUGUGAUAGAGUUAACUUCCAAGACGGCCGUCUUCGUGGUGUUUGCUCUUUCCUUCGUUCGUCUCAGCAGCAUGAAGACCGAAGAGUUGACGUCAAGGGAAACCACCACUGAAGUGAAGGCCGCAAAUUGA
This 435-nucleotide ribosomal RNA is filed under the name Triticum aestivum (bread wheat). RNAcentral describes it as "partial small subunit ribosomal RNA". The record is from RNAcentral. Lineage: Eukaryota; Viridiplantae; Streptophyta; Magnoliopsida; Poales; Poaceae.